UGAGGAAUAUUGGUCAAUGGACGAGAGUCUGAACCAGCCAAGUAGCGUGAAGGAUGACUGCCCUAUGGGUUGUAAACUUCUUUUAUACGGGAAUAAAGUGAGGUACGUGUGCCUUUUUGUAUGUACCGUAUGAAUAAGGAUCGGCUAACUCCGUGCCAGCAGCCGCGGUAAUACGGAGGAUCCGAGCGUUAUCCGGAUUUAUUGGGUUUAAAGGGAGCGUAGGCGGACGCUUAAGUCAGUUGUGAAAGUUUGCGGCUCAACCGUAAAAUUGCAGUUGAUACUGGGUGUCUUGAGUACAGUAGAGGCAGGCGGAAUUCGUGGUGUAGCGGUGAAAUGCUUAGAUAUCACGAAGAACUCCGAUUGCGAAGGCAGCCUGCUGGACUGUAACUGACGCUGAUGCUCGAAAGUGUGGGUAUCAAACAGGAUUAGAUACCCUGGUAGUCCACACAGUAAACGAUGAAUACUCGCUGUUUACGAUAUACAGUAAGCGGCCAAGCGAAAGCGUUAAGUAUUCCACCUGGGGAGUACGCCGGCAACGGUGAAACUCAAAGGAAUUGACGGGGGCCCGCACAAGCGGAGGAACAUGUGGUUUAAUUCGAUGAUACGCGAGGAACCUUACCCGGGCUUGAAUUGCAACUGAAUGAUGUGGAGACAUGUCAGCCGCAAGGCAGUUGUGAAGGUGCUGCAUGGUUGUCGUCAGCUCGUGCCGUGAGGUGUCGGCUUAAGUGCCAUAACGAGCGCAACCCUUAUCGAUAGUUACCAUCAGGUUAUGCUGGGGACUCUGUCGAGACUGCCGUCGUAAGAUGUGAGGAAGGUGGGGAUGACGUCAAAUCAGCACGGCCCUUACGUCCGGGGCUACACACGUGUUACAAUGGGGGGUACAGAAGGCAGCUACACGGCGACGUGAUGCUAAUCCCGAAAGCCUCUCUCAGUUCGGAUUGGAGUCUGCAACCCGACUCCAUGAAGCUGGAUUCGCUAGUAAUCGCGCAUCAGCCACGGCGCGGUGAAUACGUUCCC
RNAcentral lists this ribosomal RNA (1017 nucleotides) under uncultured bacterium. RNAcentral describes it as "bacterial SSU rRNA". It matches the Rfam family "Bacterial small subunit ribosomal RNA", at positions 355 to 1375 of the family's 1533-position model. RNAcentral also lists the same sequence under 1 other name. The record is from RNAcentral.